Gavia stellata (red-throated loon) is the source of this 746-nucleotide long non-coding RNA. RefSeq lists it as uncharacterized. The transcript has 3 exons. Lineage: Eukaryota; Metazoa; Chordata; Aves; Gaviiformes; Gaviidae. The record is from RefSeq and is a predicted model, not a curated record.
UCAGGAUGGGGAAGCUGAUGAGGCCUUCUACAGAAAGCUGAGAGUCGCCUCACAAUCACAGGCCUUGGUUCUCAUGGGGGACUUCAAUCACCCUGAUAUCUGCUGGGAAGGCUACACAGCCAGGGUCUCCUCCAAAUCGCAAGCGACCAACCAAUGAAAGAGCAGGAGAUGAUUAUUAUUACAAGAAAUUCAAGAAGAUGAAAGGACAGGAAAGAAGACGGCCUCCCCUUCCUUUAGAAGGGUCACCUGCAAAUCGCAAAUGCCCGCUCAGUGAAAAAACAACAGAAGAUUAUGACUAUGACAAAUUCAAGAAGAUCUGUAGACGAUACUGAUGAACGUGAAAUGAAGUCUUGGCAAUUGUUCUUAUAUUCCACUAAUAAAGGAGUUGUUUUUGACCUGGAACCGAGUUGGGGAGUCACUGCCUUCACAUGCUGGUGUUGCCUACCAAGCGUUUCUUGUGAUCUUGGAGUGAAUCAGUUUGCAGGUGAUUGCGAACUCUUUGGUCGGGCCUUUGCUGUGCCGAGUAUGAAGGCUGAGAUGCUGUAUCCGUGUGUAUUAUGGCUUCGAUGCGUCACGCCAUUAUUUCAUCACGUUGCUGCGUGACGUUCUCUCCCACUGCAACAUUCCACUGCCAGAGCCUGCGCCGCCGUGCCACUGUCACGUCGUGCCGUCGUGUCCGGACGCAGGCUCACACAGGACUGUGGCACAGCUGCCUGAGCGGAGCCCUCUCCUGUGGCCAUGGGUGG